CCCUUAGAUGUUCUGGGCCGCACGCGCGCUACACUGACUGCUCCAACAAGUUACCUGGGCUGACAAGCAUCCGGGAAAUCUUGCAAAGGCAGUCGUGAUGGGGAUAGAUUCUUGAAAUUUUUGAUCUUCAACGAGGAAUUCCUAGUAACGCAAGUCAUCAGCUUGCAUUGAUUACGUCCCUGCCCUUUGUACACACCGCCCGUCGCAUCUACCGAUUGAAUGGAGAGGCAAAAUCUUCGGACCGUGACGCUUGGGAGUCAAAUCUCGGGCUGUCGUGGGAAGUGGAUUAAACCUUUCUAUUUAGAGGAAGGUAAAGUCGUAACA
This 324-nucleotide ribosomal RNA is filed under the name uncultured eukaryote. RNAcentral describes it as "partial 18S ribosomal RNA". It matches the Rfam family "Eukaryotic small subunit ribosomal RNA", at positions 1470 to 1796 of the family's 1831-position model. The record is from RNAcentral.